GCAGUAACCAGGCGUUGGGCAAAAAAGUCAAACUGGCGGAGCUCUUGGGAACUGGGGCGAUGGUCUCUUAGGAUCGGAGGAUUGGAACCAUCCGAUUUUUACCUGAAAUUCCUUAGUCUCUCCUGUGUUGGGGAAAUGAGUCCCCUCUCACCAUGUCCGGCUGGCGGCGACCCAGAUGCCAUGAGAUGGCCAUUUGAAGACAGGCCUGCUGGACAUCAGGUCACCUUGCCUUCAAGACGGACCUGGGCUUUCAGCCGUCCAUACCUGGCCCUGGUUGAUGGCGGCAUGCUGGGCAGUGCACGUGAAGACGCACAUGAGACCGGGACUUGCUGUGUUGCCCAGGCUGGUCUUGAACUCCUGGUCUUAAGCAAUCAUACUGCUUUGGCCACCCAAAGCACUGGGAUUACAGGCAUGAACUACCACACCCAGCUCUUAAAACCACAGUAUUUCUAGGUCAGUAUAACACACCCGCCCCAUGGAAUUACAGGUGUGGCAGAAGCUUGGACUUCUGGCUUUUCUCUCUCUCACACCCAGGCAAGCUGCAGCUACUGUUUCCUCCCUUCACUACGUUUUAGAUUCUUUCCUUUUCAUUCCUGUCAUUACCAUGCUAACGUACAUCUCUAUCUACCUUACUGUUGGGCAGGUAUGAGUGGCUUGCUGGCUGCUCUUCCUUGUCUUUUGAUCUGUUUCUACUUUGCUGACUCCUCAGUUGGGGAGAAACAUUCUUCAUCAAUACUAGACUGUUAUAGGCUAUCCCUUGUCAUUUCAAACUCUAGCACCAGAUACUGUUCUCUGGUUGGUUCUUAUGGGCACCACUUGCUUUUCUGGCUGAAUACUAAAUCUAAGGUAGGAAUACGGCUUUUGUUUUACUAACAGUGUUCAAGCCUUGCUGUGAGUGCACUGCUAGACGGUCAGAUCUCACUGUGAGUGCACUGCUAGACGGUCAGAUCUCUGAGAAUUUCAGAGGGUUCCUGUAUAAUGUUAAGUGACUAAACUUAAUACACGUAAUUAAAAUCAACAUCUCAAGAUAUCGA
This is a long non-coding RNA of Cercocebus atys (sooty mangabey), 1034 nucleotides long. RefSeq lists it as uncharacterized. Lineage: Eukaryota; Metazoa; Chordata; Mammalia; Primates; Cercopithecidae. The record is from RefSeq and is a predicted model, not a curated record. The transcript has 4 exons.